Molecule: long non-coding RNA, 1384 nt
Filed under: Papio anubis (olive baboon)
Lineage: Eukaryota; Metazoa; Chordata; Mammalia; Primates; Cercopithecidae
Description: lncRNA (ENSPANG00000039966.1)
Source: RNAcentral
AUCUGGGACACAUUUGAUUUUUGAGAAGAAAUAGAUUAUCCAUUUAGCAAGAAGUACCGGUUGAGUACUGCCAAUACAAAUACUUUUUUGGGCCUGAAAAAUAGUCUUCCAUCUUUAAUGAUGACCUGGCUGAAAAGAAAACCUUGAACCUCAGGUGGGUGGGCUAGAUUUCUUUUGCAGUCAUAGGGCAAAGCUCUGAAGACAUUUCCAGAAUAUCUCAUCAGCAGAAUGAUUUUAACGACUGAACUAAAAUCUAGAGAAAAUGAUUGAGAAAUGUUGAGUAAUUAGUCUCCAAAAGAUAAGGAUGAGCUUUGGCCUCAAGAUUUUAAAUGACUUGGGACGAGGAGCAGUGGCUCAUGCCUAUAAUCCCAGCACUUUGGGAGGCUGAGAUGGGCAGAUCACCUGAGAUCAGGAUUCAAGACCAGCCUGGCCAACAUGGUGAAACCCUGUCUCUACUAAAAACACAAAAAUUAGCUGGGUGUGGUGGUGCGUGCUACUCGGGAGGCUGAGGCAGGAGAAUUGCUUGAACCUGGGAAGCAGAGGUUGUAGUGAGCGGAGAUUGGGUCAUUGCACUCCAGCCUGAGCAACAGAGCGAGACUCCAUCUCAAAGAAAAAAAAAAAAAAGACAUGGGAUGUGGUAUCCUUUGAAGUACUGAUGGCACAACUUGCCUCUUAGAAGUUCUUGAAGAUAUGGAAGGAGAGCAAAGUGAUGUGUGUUGUAGAAAACAGAUGCCGCUGAUUUGAAUGAAGGUUCAAGCUGGGGCCUCUUCCUCAUCCGUGACAGAUGCAGCAGCGGUGUCACAGAUGUCUCCCAAAGGCACCGUCUCUCUGUGGAUGCUGCCAGUCUCCAAGACUGAGGAUGGCGAUGUCAGCCCUACUGCUGCCCAGGGCCACUGCUGUUUUAUAUUGCUGCCACCACCAUCAACAUAGCCACCACCAUGAGGGGGACCAAUAAUGUCAACGGGUUUCAGCAUUUUCUCCAUCAUCACCCUUGGGACUUGGAUGUGCUUUGACUGGAUUCUAGCACAUAGUAAGAGCUUAAUGAAUGUUCCAGUGAAUGAAGUAAUCUCCUGGCUUAUAUGCAAGUUGGGGACAAGGAUCUUUCAAAGAGGACUCCUGGAAUACUUUGUUUCCUGGGAAAUGGAAGUCCAGUUUCUUAAUUACACGCAACUUCUUAAUUACAAAUGUAAGCGGAGAAGAUGUCAGCGGAAGUUAACUUGUCAAAGAAGGAUCCAUCACACCAAUGUUUUGCUGAUGUUCCAACUAGUAGAGAAAGGUUCAGCCUGUGAUCUCGAUUUCUUUGAGGAGAACCCUCUCAAUCCUACAAAAGCUUGCGUCAAUCUAAUUUAAAUGGUCUUGACGGUCUUAAAUUAUUGAGAAAAAU